This 253-nucleotide ribosomal RNA is filed under the name uncultured bacterium. Its description in RNAcentral is "partial 16S ribosomal RNA". It matches the Rfam family "Bacterial small subunit ribosomal RNA", at positions 524 to 776 of the family's 1533-position model. The record is from RNAcentral.
UACGGAGGGGGCUAGCGUUGUUCGGAAUUAUUGGGCGUAAAGGGCUCGUAGGCGGUUUGUUGCGUCGGGAGUGAAAACUCAGGGCUUAACCCUGAGCCUGCUUCCGAUACGGGCAGACUAGAGGUAUGCAGGGGAGAACGGAAUUCCUGGUGUAGCGGUGAAAUGCGCAGAUAUCAGGAGGAACACCGGUGGCGAAGGCGGUUCUCUGGGCAUUACCUGACGCUGAGGAGCGAAAGUGUGGGGAGCGAACAGG